This 328-nucleotide ribosomal RNA is filed under the name uncultured bacterium. RNAcentral's name for it is "bacterial SSU rRNA". It matches the Rfam family "Bacterial small subunit ribosomal RNA", at positions 568 to 898 of the family's 1533-position model. The record is from RNAcentral.
CGUGUAGGCGGUGCGAUAAGUCGGGCGUGAAAUCCCCGGGCUUAACCCGGGGCGGUCGCUCGAAACUGUCGUGCUCGAGGGUGGGAAAGGGAAGUGGAACUCCCGGUGUAGCGGUGAAAUGCGUAGAUAUCGGGAGGAACACCUGCGGCGAAGGCGGCUUCCUGGACCAUUACUGACGCUGAGGCGCGAAAGCUAGGGGAGCAAACAGGAUUAGAUACCCUGGUAGUCCUGGCCCUAAACGUUGAGCACUGGAUGUAGCCCUUCACCGGGCUGUGUCGAAGCUAACGCAUUAAGUGCUCCGCCUGGGGAGUACGGUCGCAAGGCUGAA